GUCCUUUAGAAUUUAAAGCUAGAGGUGCCAGAAAAGUUACCACAGGGAUAACUGGCUUGUGGCAGCCAAGCAUUCAUAGCGACAUUUCUUUUUGAUCCUUUGAUGUUGGCUCUUCCUAACAUACCAAAGCAGAAUUUGGUAAGUGUUGGAUUGUUCACUCACUAAUGGGAAUGUGAGCUGGGUUGAGACCGUUGUGAUACAGUUUAGUUUUACCCUACUGAUGGUGUGUCAUUUUAAUAGGAAUUGAACUUAGUAAAAGAGGAACUGUUCAUUCACGUAAUUGGUAUCUACACCUGUUUGAGAUGACAAUGGUGUGAAGCUCCACAUGCUGGAUUAUGGCUGAACGCCUCUAAGCCAGAACCCAUGCUAGAAACAAUUAUUUUGUCCCGUGCAUCUCAAAGUUGUGUUGAAAUAGAGCUUCAUGCUUGUUGUGGAUCUUAUUGGUUUUGGGGGCUCAAGCGGACACCAGAGGAGGAUUGGGCGGACGAGAGUCGUUUUGGAGGGCGCUGCAGGGGGCAAGAUGGGCCGGCGGAGCGCCAAGGGGGUCUGG
This 550-nucleotide non-coding RNA is filed under the name Puccinia sorghi. Its description in RNAcentral is "Eukaryotic large subunit ribosomal RNA". It matches the Rfam family "Eukaryotic large subunit ribosomal RNA", at positions 2779 to 3401 of the family's 3401-position model. Lineage: Eukaryota; Fungi; Basidiomycota; Pucciniomycetes; Pucciniales; Pucciniaceae. The record is from Rfam by way of RNAcentral.